RNAcentral lists this unclassified non-coding RNA (263 nucleotides) under plant metagenome. Its description in RNAcentral is "partial contains small subunit ribosomal RNA, internal transcribed spacer 1, and 5.8S ribosomal RNA". The record is from RNAcentral.
UUUCCGUAGGUGAACCUGCGGAAGGAUCAUUAUCGAGUUUUGACUGGGUUGUAGCUGGCCUUCCGGGGCAUGUGCACGCCCUGCUCAUCCACUCUACACCUGUGCACUUACUGUGGGUAUCAGAUCGUGAAGCGUGCUCUUUUACCGGAGCUUGUGAAGCGUGUCCGUGCCUGCGUUUAUCACAAACACUAUAAAGUAUCAGAAUGUGUAUUACGAUGUAACGCAUCUAUAUACAACUUUCAGCAACGGAUCUCUUGGCUCUC